This 454-nucleotide ribosomal RNA is filed under the name uncultured bacterium. Its description in RNAcentral is "bacterial SSU rRNA". It matches the Rfam family "Bacterial small subunit ribosomal RNA", at positions 329 to 793 of the family's 1533-position model. The record is from RNAcentral.
CUCCAGACUCCUACGGGAGGCAGCAGUAGGGAAUUUUCGGCAAUGGGGGGAACCCUGACCGAGCAACGCCGCGUGAACGAAGAAGUUAUUCGUAAUGUAAAGUUCUUUUAUCAGGGAAGAAAGAGGAAUUUGACGGUACCUGAGGAAUAAGCUCCGGCUAACUACGUGCCAGCAGCCGCGGUAAUACGUAGGGAGCGAGCGUUAUCCGGAUUUACUGGGUGUAAAGGGAGCGUAGACGGAUGGAUAAGUCUGAAGUGAAAGCCCGCGGCUCAACUGCGGGACUGCUUUGGAAACUGUGCAUCUUGAGUACGGGAGGGGCAGGCGGAAUUCCUGGUGUAGCGGUGAAAUGCGUAGAUAUCAGGAGGAACACCGGCGGCGAAGGCGGCCUGCUGGACCGAAACUGACGUUGAGGCUCGAAAGCGUGGGGAGCGAACAGGAUUAGAUACCCGCGUAU